AGAGUUUGAUCCUGGCUCAGAACGAACGCUGGCGGCAGGCUUAACACAUGCAAGUCGAGCGCACUCUUUUAGAGUGAGCGGCAAACGGGUGAGUAACGCGUGGGAAUCUACCCAUCUCUACGGAAUAACACAGAGAAAUUUGUGCUAAUACCGUAUACGUCCUAUUUGGAGAAAGAUUUAUCGGAGAUGGAUGAGCCCGCGUUGGAUUAGCUAGUUGGUGAGGUAACGGCUCACCAAGGCGACGAUCCAUAGCUGGUCUGAGAGGAUGAUCAGCCACACUGGGACUGAGACACGGCCCAGACUCCUACGGGAGGCAGCAGUGGGGAAUAUUGGACAAUGGGGGCAACCCUGAUCCAGCCAUGCCGCGUGAGUGAUGAAGGCCCUAGGGUUGUAAAGCUCUUUCACCGGUGAAGAUAAUGACGGUAACCGGAGAAGAAGCCCCGGCUAACUUCGUGCCAGCAGCCGCGGUAAUACGAAGGGGGCUAGCGUUGUUCGGAUUUACUGGGCGUAAAG
Molecule: ribosomal RNA, 513 nt
Filed under: Bartonella henselae
Lineage: Bacteria; Pseudomonadati; Pseudomonadota; Alphaproteobacteria; Hyphomicrobiales; Bartonellaceae
Description: bacterial SSU rRNA
Rfam family: Bacterial small subunit ribosomal RNA
Source: RNAcentral